AAUGAACGCUGGCGGCAGGCCUAACACAUGCAAGUCGAACGGAUCCUUCGGGAUUAGUGGCGGACGGGUGAGUAACGCGUGGGAACAUACCCAAAGGUACGGAAUAGCCUCGGGAAACUGGGAGUAAUACCGUAUGAGCUCGAAAGAGGAAAGAUUUAUCGCCUUUGGAUUGGCCCGCGUUGGAUUAGGUAGUUGGUGGGGUAAUGGUCUACCAAGCCGACGAUCCAUAGCUGGUUUGAGAGGAUGAUCAGCCACACUGGGACUGAGACACGGCCCAGACUCCUACGGGAGGCAGCAGUGGGGAAUCUUAGACAAUGGGGGAAACCCUGAUCUAGCCAUGCCGCGUGAUCGAUGAAGGCCUUAGGGUUGUAAAGAUCUUUCAGGUGGGAAGAUAAUGACUGUACCACCAGAAGAAGCCCCGGCUAACUCCGUGCCAGCCGCCGCCCGUAA
RNAcentral lists this ribosomal RNA (450 nucleotides) under uncultured bacterium. RNAcentral describes it as "partial 16S ribosomal RNA". It matches the Rfam family "Bacterial small subunit ribosomal RNA", at positions 29 to 523 of the family's 1533-position model. The record is from RNAcentral.